GACGAACGCUGGCGGCGUGCUUAACACAUGCAAGUCGAACGGAAAGGCCCUGCUUUUGUGGGGUGCUCGAGUGGCGAACGGGUGAGUAACACGUGAGUAACCUGCCCUUGACUUUGGGAUAACUUCAGGAAACUGGGGCUAAUACCGGAUAGGAGCUCCUGCUGCACGGUGGGGGUUGGAAAGUUUCGGCGGUUGGGGAUGGACUCGCGGCUUAUCAGCUUGUUGGUGGGGUAGUGGCUUACCAAGGCUUUGACGGGUAGCCGGCCUGAGAGGGCGACCGGCCACAUUGGGACUGAGAUACGGCCCAGACUCCUACGGGAGGCAGCAGUGGGGAAUAUUGCACAAUGGGCGGAAGCCUGAUGCAGCAACGCCGCGUGCGGGAUGACGGCCUUCGGGUUGUAAACCGCUUUCGCCUGUGACGAAGCGUGAGUGACGGUAAUGGGUAAAGAAGCACCGGCUAACUACGUG
This 468-nucleotide ribosomal RNA is filed under the name uncultured bacterium. RNAcentral describes it as "partial 16S ribosomal RNA". It matches the Rfam family "Bacterial small subunit ribosomal RNA", at positions 28 to 507 of the family's 1533-position model. The record is from RNAcentral.